UGAACGCUAGCGGCAGGCCUAAUACAUGCAAGUCGAACGAUACCAGAGAGCUUGCUUUCUGGGAAAGUGGCGCACGGGUGCGUAACGCGUAUGCAACCUACCUUAAAUCAGGGGGAUAGCCUCUCGAAAGAGAGAUUAACACCGCAUAAAAUCACACUUCGGCAUCGAAGAAUGAUCAAAUAUUUAUAGGAUUAAGAUGGGCAUGCGUGACAUUAGUUUGUUGGUGAGGUAACGGCUCACCAAGACUACGAUGUCUAGGGGAUCUGAGAGGAUGACCCCCCACACUGGUACUGAGACACGGACCAGACUCCUACGGGAGGCAGCAGUAAGGAAUAUGGUCAAUGGGGCAACCCUGAACCAGCCAUGCCGCGUGCAGGAAGACGGCCCUACGGGUUGUAAACUGCUUUUAUACGGGAAUAAACCUCUCUACGUGUAGGGAGUUGAAUGUACUGUAAGAAUAAGGAUCGGCUAACUCCGUGCCAGCAG
RNAcentral lists this ribosomal RNA (486 nucleotides) under uncultured Pedobacter sp. Its description in RNAcentral is "bacterial SSU rRNA". It matches the Rfam family "Bacterial small subunit ribosomal RNA", at positions 30 to 514 of the family's 1533-position model. Lineage: Bacteria; Pseudomonadati; Bacteroidota; Sphingobacteriia; Sphingobacteriales; Sphingobacteriaceae. The record is from RNAcentral.